This 158-nucleotide ribosomal RNA is filed under the name uncultured bacterium. RNAcentral describes it as "partial 16S ribosomal RNA". It matches the Rfam family "Bacterial small subunit ribosomal RNA", at positions 355 to 509 of the family's 1533-position model. The record is from RNAcentral.
UGAGGAAUAUUGGUCAAUGGACGAGAGUCUGAAACCAGCCAAGUAGCGUGAAGGAUGACUGCCCUAUGGGUUGUAAACUUCUUUUAUAUGGGAAUAAAAUGUUCCACGUGUGGGAUUUUGUAUGUACCAUAUGAAUAAGGAUCGGCUAACUCCGUGCC